GAAAGCAUGGGUAGCGAACAGGAUUAGAUACCCUGGUAGUCCAUGCCGUAAACGAUGAUUACUAAGUGUUGGAGGGUUUCCGCCCUUCAGUGCUGCAGCUAACGCAUUAAGUAAUCCGCCUGGGGAGUACGACCGCAAGGUUGAAACUCAAAAGAAUUGACGGGGGCCCGCACAAGCGGUGGAGCAUGUGGUUUAAUUCGAAGCUACGCGAAGAACCUUACCAGGUCUUGACAUCUUCUGACAGUCUAAGAGAUUAGAGGUUCCCUUCGGGGACAGAAUGACAGGUGGUGCAUGGUUGUCGUCAGCUCGUGUCGUGAGAUGUUGGGUUAAGUCCCGCAACGAGCGCAACCCUUAUUACUAGUUGCCAGCAUUAAGUUGGGCACUCUAGUGAGACUGCCGGUGACAAACCGGAGGAAGGUGGGGACGACGUCAAAUCAUCAUGCCCCUUAUGACCUGGGCUACACACGUGCUACAAUGGAUGGUACAACGAGUCGCGAAACCGCGAGGUUAAGCUAAUCUCUUAAAACCAUUCUCAGUUCGGACUGUAGGCUGCAACUCGCCUACACGAAGUCGGAAUCGCUAGUAAUCGCGGAUCAGCAUGCCGCGGUGAAUACGUUCCCGGGCCUUGUACACACCGCCCGUCACACCAUGAGAGUUUGUAACACCCAAAGCCGGUGGGGUA
This 682-nucleotide ribosomal RNA is filed under the name Pediococcus pentosaceus. RNAcentral describes it as "bacterial SSU rRNA". It matches the Rfam family "Bacterial small subunit ribosomal RNA", at positions 755 to 1437 of the family's 1533-position model. Lineage: Bacteria; Bacillati; Bacillota; Bacilli; Lactobacillales; Lactobacillaceae. The record is from RNAcentral.